AGUGAACGCUGGCGGUAGGCCUAACACAUGCAAGUCGAACGGCAGCACAGUAAGAGCUUGCUCUUACGGGUGGCGAGUGGCGGACGGGCGAGGAAUACAUCGGAAUCUACUUUUUCGUGGGGGAUAACGUAGGGAAACUUACGCUAAUACCGCAUAUGACCUACGGGUGAAAGCAGGGGAUCUUCGGACCUUGCGCGAUUGAAUGAGCCGAUGUCGGAUUAGCUAGUUGGCGGGGUAAAGGCCCACCAAGGCGACGAUCCGUAGCUGGUCUGAGAGGAUGAUCAGCCACACUGGAACUGAGACACGGUCCAGACUCCUACGGGAGGCAGCAGUGGGGAAUAUUGGACAAUGGGCGCAAGCCUGAUCCAGCCAUACCGCGUGGGUGAAGAAGGCCUUCGGGUUGUAAAGCCCUUUUGUUGGGAAAGAAAAGCAGCAGGUUAAUACCCCGCUGUUCUGACGGUACCCAAAGAAUAAGCACCGGCUAACUUCGUG
RNAcentral lists this ribosomal RNA (492 nucleotides) under uncultured bacterium. RNAcentral's name for it is "partial 16S ribosomal RNA". It matches the Rfam family "Bacterial small subunit ribosomal RNA", at positions 29 to 507 of the family's 1533-position model. The record is from RNAcentral.